This 22-nucleotide microRNA is filed under the name Gallus gallus (chicken). Its description in RNAcentral is "gga-miR-12262-5p". The record is from miRBase by way of RNAcentral. Lineage: Eukaryota; Metazoa; Chordata; Aves; Galliformes; Phasianidae.
UUGUCACAGACCCUGCUAAAGA